AAGCGCUUGCAACCAGACUUGCGCGCGGCGGUUCCCCCUUCCUUUUGGUUGGGUUACUCCGCCGUGUCCAGGCCAACAUCGGUUCUGGGGGCCGGUUAAAGGUCCGGGGAAUGUACCUACCCUUCGGGCGUAGACUUAUAGCCCCGGGCGUCAUGCGACCUCCCGGGACCGAGGAACGCGCUUCGGCUCGGAUGUUGGCGUAAUGGUUGUCAGCGA
This 216-nucleotide ribosomal RNA is filed under the name Exophiala sp. Its description in RNAcentral is "partial large subunit ribosomal RNA". The record is from RNAcentral. Lineage: Eukaryota; Fungi; Ascomycota; Eurotiomycetes; Chaetothyriales; Herpotrichiellaceae.